This is a long non-coding RNA of Aquila chrysaetos chrysaetos, 1733 nucleotides long. RefSeq lists it as uncharacterized. NCBI's taxonomy places the organism in Eukaryota, Metazoa, Chordata, Aves, Accipitriformes, Accipitridae. The record is from RefSeq and is a predicted model, not a curated record. The transcript has 3 exons.
GGAAAAAAUUAGGUUUAAAAAACUGAAUUACCUGGAGCAGAGCCACUGUUUCCUAGAAUAGAGGAAAUAUUUUCUAAGAUGGAAAGGCAAAAAGGCACUUUCUUGGAGAGGACAGAUUCUUUUCUAGUGGGACUACAAGCUUGCCCUGAGAGCGAGAAGCAAUCUUGCUGCUAGUAUCAAAAUCCUGCUGCAGCGGGAAGGUGCUUGAUGCAUGUGAAGAUGUGAUUAUCCAUAGGAAGGAGAGAUCCUAUAGCUGUGGUCAUGCUGGCGUGGUGUGCUGACUCAACAAAACGUCCCCUGCGAAUUUGACAGCUGUGUGGUUUGCAGUUUCAGAAAUCCAAGCAUCUUUCUGGGUAUUAGUCUGGAGGCUGUGGACAAGAAAGAAGCUGCAGAGCGGUGGAUGAGGGAUUAGCAAGUGCGCAGAGAUAGGGAAACUGAGGCACGGGGCAAGUCAAUGUCUCUGGAUGAGAAGUCCUGGAUCCCAGUUCAGCAAAACUUCUGCUAAGCGCAAACAGAAGGCAAAGAGACCUUCCCAUUUCAAUACUAACACAGCAUUCAGGAGAUUUAAUUCUAGCUGUGCCUCUGCCGCAGAUUUCCUGUGUACAUUUGUGCAUUUACCUUCUUUCAGCGAACAGUAGGCAGUAACGUUGCCUUUACAAACCACCUGCUUGGGUUGUGAGAGCUUCGGGCCAGGAAUGAUUCUUUCUCAGGCACUUGAACAGUGUUUGCUAUAAAUGGGACCUACUCUUGCCUCUGCUGUCUGUGUCAAUGGUCAGGCAGAAGGUUUCCAAAUAAAUUUUGGGUUGAAAUUUAAUUUUUUUGAUUCCUUCAGAACAUCUGACUUUCACAAAAUCAGCCCCCUUGGAAGCUGAACACUUUUGCUUUCCAGCCCAGACCUGAAAACUUUUGAUUGUGAACUUUUGGACAGAGAGGUCCACUUUCUUUCCAUACAAGCAGCACAUAUUAUGACCUCUUUACAGUGAAAUCCAGCCCGAAAAAAGCAUUAAUUAAAAUCCCAACCAAUGGAUAAACAACCAGUUCCACCUACAUCCUAGACACAAUUUCCAAAAGAACCUACCUCCUUUUCUUCGAAGCAAAACAAAUCUAGAGACCCCCACAAAUAUUUAUAAGUAUUCAUGUCUCACUGAGAGGUAUUUGAGUUGGUUGGCAUUGCUUUGCUGUUUAUCCGUGUGAUGAGGACAGGCAGGUUCGUGCCGGUGUUGCAAUACCACCCUUCAGAGGAUGCUGGCUUUCCUUUUACACUGGGCUGACUCUACUCUUACAGGAUAGUUUCUCUGUAUUUGCCUUGUUGGAGCUGAUAGCACAGAUCUGUGCAGGAAUCAGCUCCGUCUUUUGGCUUGUACAGGUGAAACUGUACAAACAAGUCUCUUUUUUUCCAAUUAAUAAAUAAAUAAAAAACUCUAAAACCAUUAAGGUACUACAAAAGAAAGCCGGAGAUACAUGAUUAGAAAGUGGAUCCUUGACCAAAGUGAUGCAGCAGCUACUCAAAAGCAGUGAUUUCUUCUGAGUAUUUUAAAAAAGGUAAAUCCAUUGUCUUUUUAUGAAGUUGGGUAGGGAAUAAGUCUAAAUUAAACACAUAGGCUUAGGAACUACUCUCCUGCAGAGACCCAUGAGUCUCUGCUUUCCCCUGGCAAAGCUGAAGUUAGCCUAAAAUUCCUCCACCCUGCCAUCUUCUUCCCCUAUCACAAAAUGCUUUAAUCAAAAUAGAAGCU